RNAcentral lists this ribosomal RNA (253 nucleotides) under uncultured bacterium. Its description in RNAcentral is "partial 16S ribosomal RNA". It matches the Rfam family "Bacterial small subunit ribosomal RNA", at positions 524 to 776 of the family's 1533-position model. The record is from RNAcentral.
UACGUAGGGUGCAAGCGUUGUCCGGAAUUAUUGGGCGUAGAGAGCUUGUAGGCGGUUUGUCGCGUCUGCUGUGAAAUUUCGGGGCUCAACCCCGAACUUGCAGUGGGUACGGGCAGACUAGAGUGUGGUAGGGGAGACUGGAAUUCCUGGUGUAGCGGUGAAAUGCGCAGAUAUCAGGAGGAACGCCAAUGGUGAAAACAGGUAGCUGGGGGUGUGCUGACACUGAGACACGAAAGCCAGGGGAGCAAACGGG